UGGGCCGUCGACAAGUGGCAAGUCACGGGGCUUUGGUCCCCGUAUUCGAAGGUUCGAAUCCUUCCGGCCCAG
This 72-nucleotide transfer RNA is filed under the name Deltaproteobacteria bacterium HGW-Deltaproteobacteria-17. RNAcentral's name for it is "tRNA-Gln". It matches the Rfam family "tRNA". From Rfam's summary of the family: Transfer RNA (tRNA) molecules are approximately 80 nucleotides in length. Their secondary structure includes four short double-helical elements and three loops (D, anti-codon, and T loops). Lineage: Bacteria; Deltaproteobacteria. The record is from RNAcentral.